AAAACUCAACUUUUUAGAGUUUUCCAUGACCUUGAUGACCAAAACCCAACUUUGGAAGGUUCUCCAUUAUUUUAAUGACCGAAAACCCAAUUUUAGACAAUUCAAUGACCUAAAAACCCAAGUUUUGGAAGUCUUCCAUGACCUUGAUGACCAAAACCCAACUUUUGGAUUUCCUCUUUGGUUUUGAUGACCCAAACCCAACUUUGGAAGGUUCUCCAUUAUUUUAAUGACCAAAAACUCAAAUUUUGAGUAUUCAUUGACCAAAAACUCAACUUUUUAGAGAUUUCCAUGACCUUGAUGACCAAAACCCAACUUUGGAAGGUUCUCCAUUAUUUUAGUGACCAAAAACCCAAUUUUAGACAAUUCAAUGACCUAAAAACCCAACUUUUGGAAGUUUUCCAUGACCUUGAUGACCAAAACCCAACUUUAGAAGGUUCUCCAUUAUUUUAAUGACCAAAAACCCAAUUUUAGACAAUUCAAUCACCUAAAAACCCAACUUU
Molecule: long non-coding RNA, 500 nt
Organism: Oenanthe melanoleuca
Lineage: Eukaryota; Metazoa; Chordata; Aves; Passeriformes; Muscicapidae
Exons: 4
Source: RefSeq, a predicted model, not a curated record